This is a long non-coding RNA of Xiphophorus hellerii (green swordtail), 2795 nucleotides long. RefSeq lists it as uncharacterized. The record is from RefSeq and is a predicted model, not a curated record. Lineage: Eukaryota; Metazoa; Chordata; Actinopteri; Cyprinodontiformes; Poeciliidae. The transcript has 3 exons.
UUGAAGAUGUCCAAUUUGAGGACUCAUGUGUUUUGUUGAGACGUUUACUCCAGACACGCACCAUACAUGCACGCACACACAACUACGGACACAAAGAUUCUGCACAAAAGCCUUUUGUUUUAUACGGACACUUUCUGUAGAAACGAAACUUAACUUUAGCUCAUCGUCUGACCACUACGAGGACCUUAGUGACGUAACACAUCACCAGACCAGGAGGCGGAUUUUAGGAUAUAAGCAAUGUGUCUUCCGUGUUUGAGUAGAUGCUGUAUAGAUUCGGGCCUUUACACUUGACAUCCACAUAAGCCUGUAAGGGUAAGCGUCUCUUUCUUUUUAGUGCUAAAAAGAAUAAAAUAAGUAAACUCUGAUUAUUCUGUGUUGGCUGAUUUCCUGUUCGUGUGCUCACACGCUUUGGGUCCGUCGAGUUUAAAUCACAACAGUUUGCAUUUGUCAACAAACUGAAUUUGUUCAAGGCGCACAUUCAAAGGGGAAAUUUAACACAUUUUCCCACUCUACUAAAAGCCAGCGGGCAGGUCACCAGCGCCACCCUGAACAAGCAAAGAGCCAGAUAUGCAACACUGGUUGAAAACCUGCACGAAAGCUUUGUGGCCCGGUUCCGUGAUCUACAACUGAAAAGGCCACAGAUUACAUUCCUUGUCGACCCAUUUAAUGCUGAGACAGACUGUUUGAAAGCCCCGAUAGUCAUAGAUGAGUGUGCGGCUGAGUUGGAGAUGAUUGAUCUUUGUGAGGAGGACCAACUGAAACCUGCUUUAAAGGAAGGGACCAUUGAGUUCUGGAAACAUGUGCCAAUGGAAAAAUAUCCCAAUGUCAAACGAGCUGCACUUAAGAUACUGUCAAUGUUUGGGUCAACAUAUGUCUGCGAGUCUGUGUUUUCUACCCUGAAACAUGUGAAAUCGAAGAAUCGGUCUGUUCUGACCGACAUCCAUGUCAAAGAAUUGCUUCGAGUGACAACAACGGAGUACAAGCCAGAUCUGAACAGGAUUGUUCAAGACAAGGAAUGCCAGAAGUCCCAUUAAAUAACACAUGUAAUGCACAUAAUAAAAGGAAAAAUGUAUUGUAAAUUGUUCUAUUAUUGUUUGUUUAUUUGGUUAAACAGAGUUUGUUUGCAUGAGAAAGUGCACAGUGUUCAUUGUUGAAAAUGUCUGGCCUGUGGUCUUUGUAGUGUUAAAAUAGUGUGUGAAAUUUACAAUAAAUCUGGCUGAGCAAAAGUAUGAGUAUGAGGAAGGGAUGGGUUGAUGUUCAUGUGUGCCCAUGUAUAUGAUGUGGCUCUUUGCAGUAACUUGGUAAAAAAUGUGGCUCUUGGUCUUUGUCUGGUUGGCCACCCCUGUAUUAGAGUUAUGACCAUUUUUUGGUGGCGACUUUUUUUUUGGCCAGGCAGUGUAUAAUCAGUUCUUUAGUAUGUUUUCUGUAACAUAAAACGAAUGAAAGGUUUUUAGAUUGGAAAAAAAUCAAACAAGUGUUUUGAUUUCCUUAUUUUCAGCACCUUUCUCAUUUUGUUCAGGGUUACAUGUAGCAUUUGCAUGUAACCCUGGAAUCUGUGUGUCAGAUUCCAAAUCCAUCAUAUGGAAUCUGACACAAAUACUACACAAAUAUUCUCCACACAGGAGUGUUUGCAUAGUUAAACGGAUUGUUUAGAUUUUUGGAUGUAGGGUUCUAUGAAAUAGUUACCUGCAGAAUACAGAAAUCGAAGUGAACUAAGUUUGCUAAAAAGCAAGACACUCAAAAGGUCUAAAGAGAAAAUUAGCUCAUGGCCCUUAGACCAGAUUUUGGUAUUGAAAUGUAACAUUUUCAUAAAAGUCUGGGUAACCAUUUUAUCAAUUGAUUUAGGAUGUCUAUAGUUUGUAUGAGACAUCAUACUAACGUGUGACACAUACAACAGUGCUGCUGAGAAAGUAGCACGGUUGCUGCUUUCUCAGCUGCGACCGUGAUGAAAGUGCUUUUCUGCUGAUUGCAUCAGUCCAUCUGAUCUUUGAAAUUCAUGUGUCCGAUGAUAUUUCAAAACCAUGAGGCAGAAGAAGGAAGUGAUUACCACACCAUGGAUGAUGAGGCUUUUUCUUAGGAAAUACAAGGUCGUCUGUAUGAGCCAGUAUAUGUAGAAGAACAGCUGUUGGUCUGAGCGAGAACACCUGACAGAUUAGAUAUAAUAUCAUCACCUGCUGACUUCUAUUACUGCUAUGAGGGAGAAUUAAAAGGACAAAGUUGAAGCUUAAUACAGCAACCAUACCAGCAUGUCACAGUUAAUCUGUAUCACUAGCAACGCAGAGUUACCUUCCUCUCAAAUACAUCUACAUAGGUUUUGAGAAAUCUAGCUCUUACCUUGACUGCCAGUCAGUGUUUACCUUCAGGAUGUCCAGAGACCUUCACCUUUCUGGAGCAGGAAUCACAUGAGCUCAAUGUGCUGAUAAAAUAUGUCUAGUUUUAAAAAAUGUGUCUGAUGUUCUUACAGAGUUGAAGUGCAUUAACAAUCUGUUGUUUUUACUAUGUUUAAUUAUGAUUCAUCUGAUGUUCCAGUUAUACUAAGAACAAAUAAAGCUGUAUUCCUUCUAAUCUGACUGGUUCUACUUUUAAUCAAACCUUCAUGUUUUCACAUUUUGGUCACUAAGAAUUAAAAGUUUAAACUCUUAGUCUUAUUUAUCACUAAUUAAGGUUAAAGGUUUUGGACACAUUUUCUCACUUUCUUACACUGAAGAUUCUCCAGGCAGACAGAUAAACAGAGUGGAUAGAAAGAUGAUGUACAAAGUAGAAAUGAACAAACAUGAUUUGUAUUUUAUGUUCUU